Molecule: ribosomal RNA, 362 nt
Filed under: Fruticicola kurodana
Lineage: Eukaryota; Metazoa; Mollusca; Gastropoda; Stylommatophora; Camaenidae
Description: partial 16S ribosomal RNA
Source: RNAcentral
AUAGCCGCAGUACCCUGACUGUGCAAAGGUAGCAUAAUCAGUUGGCUUAUAAUUGAAGUCUAGUAUGAACGAAAGGAUGGGAGUAAGCUAUCUAAGAAUUGUAUCAAUAAAUUACUUAAUAAGUGAAAAUUCUUAUAUAAAUAUAAUAGACGAGAAGACCCUAGAAAUUUUAAGUAAUAUUUAGCUAUUGGUUUUUGUUGGGGCGACACAGUAGCACUAUAAACCUACUAAGAAGGAUAUGAUUAUCUUAAUAUGUAUAAUUAAAUUACUCUAGGGAUAACAGCAUAAUAUUGUAAAGUUUGUGACCUCGAUGUUGGACUAGGAAAGUAUAACUCAGAAGGUUAUUAUGUAGGCUCUGUUCG